This 253-nucleotide ribosomal RNA is filed under the name uncultured bacterium. RNAcentral describes it as "partial 16S ribosomal RNA". It matches the Rfam family "Bacterial small subunit ribosomal RNA", at positions 524 to 776 of the family's 1533-position model. The record is from RNAcentral.
GACGAACCGUGCAAACGUUAUUCGGAAUCACUGGGCGUAAAGGGCUCGUAGGCGGCCAACUAAGUCAGACGUGAAAUCCCUCGGCUUAACCGGGGAACUGCAUCUGAUACUGGAUGGCUUGAGAUUGGGAGAGGGAUGCGGAAUUCCAGGUGUAGCGGUGAAAUGCGUAGAUAUCUGGAGGAACACCGGUGGCGAAGGCGGCAUCCUGGACCAACACUGACGCUGAGGAGCGAAAGCCAGGGGAGCAAACGGG